This 1265-nucleotide long non-coding RNA is filed under the name Homo sapiens (human). Its description in RNAcentral is "small nucleolar RNA host gene 5". The stretch from base 976 to 1050 matches the Rfam family "Small nucleolar RNA SNORD50". Lineage: Eukaryota; Metazoa; Chordata; Mammalia; Primates; Hominidae. The record is from RNAcentral.
GCUGCGCACUUCGGUCUUUUACGUCGGCCUUCGCGAGCGUCUGGGCGGGUGGUAGGUGAGUGGGUAUUGCGGGCUAGUAUCCGAGCAAAAGAUGGUGGCGCAGGCCGAGUUAAGAGCUUUAAUCCUGUGAAGACAUCUUAGUGAAGAGUUUAGAGUGCUGAGAGUUGAAAGCUUGCACGUGGGAAACGUGCGGCCGGACUGCCACAUGUACUGAGGUUGAGUCGUGACGGCCACAGGCUCCGAGUUUUGGCGUGAGGAACCGCUGAUCGGCCACGGGCGCCGAACUUGCUGGCCUCCGGCAUGUGCCUGAGCGGCGGCGGAAAAACCACCUUAAUUGGGGCGGAGGGUUAGUUUUAACAGCAAAGGGCCUUUACUAAAAUGGCGAAGGCCUUCCGUCGGCGUUGUUUUAAAAUGGGAAGCCUCGACCCUGUAUUGAAACUGAGCUGUUCGAAGGCGGCGUUGUGUGCAAUUCGGAUUAAUGAAGGGGAAGGGUUUUGUGUGGAAAAACGCCUUGGAGUGUGACAUUUCUGCGAGAAUGCUUAAAUACCGAUUUCCCGCAGGAACAAUGGCGCUGUCUUCAGUGGCACAGUGGAGCAGCUCUGAAGAUGCAAAGAUACACGAAAAAACUUCCAGAACAUCUGGGAGAAUAUUUAAUGGAAAAUCGCUUGGUUAAAACCUGACACUUUUAACAGGUAUGUGUUGUUUUAGUACUUUAUGAUUGAGCAUAGCAUUUAAUCCACACCUAGACUAAAUCAAAUUUUUUUUGUCAGUGAACAGCGUUCUGAGUGUGGACGAGUAGCCAGUGAAGAUAAUGAAUGUCGAAUGUGACUGACUAGCAGCUUCAUUUUGAAUGAGGGUCGCUGUCUGCCCAUUGAUAGAGGCCAGAUUGUCUUGGAAGUUCCAAAGUUGCAACGAUUUCUGUAAGUGGAGUUUUUCUGUUUGCUUAGAGAUCAGUGAAUAUUGUGUCCUUGGUCUUAUCUGUGAUGAUCUUAUCCCGAACCUGAACUUCUGUUGAAAAAAAAAAACUUUUACGGAUCUGGCUUCUGAGAUGGACCGUUAUAAGGACAAUAUUUUUUUUUAAUACUUUUAAUGCUUUUACAUAUGUUGUAAUGUUUGUAGUCUUGUAAGAAUCUCGUGUUUUUCCUUUUCUAGGGCUAGUGCCACGAGGUUUACUUGACUGUUGUGUGAAAAGCUGAUAAGAAAACCAUCCAGAAAAAAGCUCUUCGUUUUACAAACAUGAAAAUAAAACAUGUAAUUUUGGAUUA